CAAAAAACAGUUUUAAAUGUAUCUCUUAUGAUGUUGUACUAUUUCUUUUUAAGUAAAAAGUUUAAAGAAACAAAAAUGGGUAAAAUAUUAUUGAAUUAUGUAUGUGAUUAUGUGUUAUGUAUCAAUUUAGAAAGUAAUAAAACAUGUGGAAAAUAUAAUAAAUGCGACGCGAAUGGACUAACAAAAAACGAAUUGAAUAAAAAAAAAUUAAUGAUCUUUUUAAAGGAAAGUAAGAUAAAUGAUUUUUGUAAAGAUAUAAAUAAAAUAAAUUUUUUGAAAAAAAAUAUAGCAGAUAAAGACAUAUGUUUAGCGAUAACAUGUUUGUUAAAAUUUAAUAUUGCUUCAACGAACAAAAUAAGUAAAGACGUGUUUGAAAUACAAAGUGAUUAUGCUUAUAAAAUGAACUGCCAUGUUUAUUAUAUUGUACUAUAUCUAUUAUGUAUAUUACAAAAGGAAUGUGUAUUUAAAUUAUUUAAAUUAUUAAAUGUAUUAAAAAGACAUUGUUCUUAUCAUAUUUCUGAAAUUAUAAUACAAAUAAUAAAAAAAAUGGAUCCUUAUAUUACUGCUAUUUUAAUUUAUACUAUAGGGAAUUUAACACCCCAUUUUUUUAUGCAAAACUGUUUAACAACUCAACGAUAUAAUAUUUGUUCUUUAUAUAUUGUUAAUAUACAAAAUUAUAUAGGAGUAUAUGACAUUCGGAAAUUUUAUUGUAUGUAUUUGUUUUACAUGACCUUGAGACAUAAUAUAGCGUAUACAGCAGAAAUUUUAAACUAUACAGCUCUUUUAUUUUACACAUUAUAUGAAAAAAAACAAGCUAAUAAUAAUCAUCAUAUUUAUCACUUAAAUUAUUUUGGAUUAAAAAAUAUAAAAAACGUUAUAAAUUUAUUAAAACAAUAUCCUAAACAUUCUCAAAAUUUUAUGUUUUUUCUUUUGUGUGCUUAUAAUUUACAUAAAAACACCCCCAAACGGGUGAGCGAUAUACAACAUCUAAGUUGCUUAUUUGACACGACACACAGUGUUAGUACUAUUGAUUGUAGUAACAGAAAUAUUCACAGUAUCAAUAAUAACAACAAUAAUAAAAGAACCAACACGAGUAAAAAAGAAAAACAAAAUAACAUGUUACAUAUUAAUAGCUUCGCUUUUAAAAAUUUAAAAAUGAAUAAAGUUGUAUAUGAAUUUUUUUACAACCCAAAUAUAAUAAACUUUGUAAAAAAUAAUAUUAAUGCAUUUGAAAAGUUACACUCGUGUAAUAGUAACGUAUUUGAUCAGGUUAACGAACUUUGUAGCUUCAAACAAGAAAAGACACAACAAAGUGAGACCAAACCAACCGAUAAAAACCAAGAGGAUGAAGGAAAAAUAAACUACAAUGACAUUCUAAAUAUUUAUAUUAGGUUUAUUAUUAUAAUCCAAAAUAUAGUUUGUUAUUACAUAAAUAAUAUGCUUUGGUUUGAAUUAUAUGAUUUUAUCACUUCUUUAAAAAUAGAUAUUGCAUCUUUUUUUACAUAUACUCAUUUUUUCCAGUCCAAUUAUUCUCAAAAUGUUUUUUGGGGUAUAUGCGCUAUAGAUAUAUCACAGUCUUACAUAAAAAAUUCAGAGUUUGACUUUACGAUGUUUAAUGAAGUGACUAAAAAUAUUGGCACAUCCUGUGAGGGAGUCCUAUGCGAAAAAAAAUGCAGCACGUUACAAUCUGAGCACAGUAUCAAAGUAAAACAAAAUGACACGUACGUUGAAAAAAAGAAACUUAACAAUGUGGCUAAAUUGGGUAGCGUGAAUGCAUUGGAAAGGGAUACAUCAGAAGGUGUGCCAGAAAGUGUGUCAGAAAGUGUGCCAAAAGAAUUACACCAAUUUGACCAGGACUACAUCGAAUAUGCGAACUACAUAAAAAAUAUGCAAACCGUUUUUGAAAUAACACAAAGAGAACAUAAAACUAUUAAUAAAAAUUUUUUUCCAAAUAUUAUAACAAAACCUAUUUUUUUUAUUGAUAUAUACAAAUCGUUUAAAACCCAUUUCGAUGUAGACCGUUUAAAAAUAAAACAACAGCAGAAUCAAUAUAAUGGUCACAAAAAUAAUGAUAAUUUAAAAAAAACAAACACAAAGCGCAUAACUAAAUUAGAAUUAGAAAACAUAAAAGAUAAAUAUCAAAAUAAUUUAUAUUCAUUUAAUAUUUAUAAUAAACUAACGAAUUAUAUAUUUUUAGAAACUUCUUUCACACCAUCUACAUAUACAUACAUACCUAUA
Molecule: long non-coding RNA, 2238 nt
Organism: Piliocolobus tephrosceles (Ugandan red Colobus)
Lineage: Eukaryota; Metazoa; Chordata; Mammalia; Primates; Cercopithecidae
Source: Ensembl